This 301-nucleotide ribosomal RNA is filed under the name uncultured bacterium. Its description in RNAcentral is "partial 16S ribosomal RNA". It matches the Rfam family "Bacterial small subunit ribosomal RNA", at positions 509 to 807 of the family's 1533-position model. The record is from RNAcentral.
CAGUAGCCGCGGGAAUACAGAGGGUGCGAGCGUUAAUCGGAUUUACUGGGCGUAAAGCGUGCGUAGGCGGCUUUUUAAGUCGGAUGUGAAAUCCCUGAGCUUAACUUAGGAAUUGCAUUCGAUACUGGGAAGCUAGAGUUUGGGAGAGGAUGGUAGAAUUCCAGGUGUAGCGGUGAAAUGCGUAGAGAUCUGGAGGAAUACCGAUGGCGAAGGCAGCCAUCUGGCCUAAUACUGACGCUGAGGUACGAAAGCAUGGGGAGCAAACAGGAUUAGAUACCCCUGUAGUCCCUGUCUCUUAUAC